CCUACGGGAGGCAGCAGUGGGGAAUAUUGCGCAAUGGACGAAAGUCUGACGCAGCAACGCCGCGUGAGGGAUGACGGCCUUCGGGUUGUAAACCUCUUUCAGCAGGGACGAAGCGAGAGUGACGGUACCUGCAGAAGAAGGACCGGCCAACUACGUGCCAGCAGCCGCGGUAAU
This 174-nucleotide ribosomal RNA is filed under the name uncultured bacterium. Its description in RNAcentral is "partial 16S rRNA". It matches the Rfam family "Bacterial small subunit ribosomal RNA", at positions 338 to 524 of the family's 1533-position model. The record is from RNAcentral.